UACAUACAGCAUCAUGCAUGGUGUACAGUGCUGUACACGUACACCUAAGUUCGUUGGCGUCGGAGGUCUUUCUGCUAUUAUCAACUUUUGAAGCGAGUUGCGUGUCUGGAGCUCUAAGUUGACAAACAUACAAGUUGGCUAUAUGUGAAACACCUCAUGGUGUAUGCUGAUCAAGUCUGCUUGUUAAUUCUGCUUUUU
Corticium candelabrum is the source of this 198-nucleotide long non-coding RNA. RefSeq lists it as uncharacterized. The transcript is spliced from 3 exons. Lineage: Eukaryota; Metazoa; Porifera; Homoscleromorpha; Homosclerophorida; Plakinidae. The record is from RefSeq and is a predicted model, not a curated record.